UACGGAGGAUGCGAGCGUUAUCCGGAUUUAUUGGGUUUAACGGGUGCGUAGGCGGAUCGUUAAGUCAGUGGUCAAAUUGAGGGGCUCAACCCCUUCCCGCCAUUGAAACUGGCGAUCUUGAGUGGAAGAGAAGUAUGCGGAAUGCGUGGUGUGGCGGUGAAAUGCAUAGAUAUCACGCAGAACCCCGAUUGCGAAGGCAGCAUGCCGGCUUCCGACUGACGCUGAAGCACGAAAGCGUGGGGAUCGAACAGG
This 252-nucleotide ribosomal RNA is filed under the name uncultured bacterium. RNAcentral's name for it is "partial 16S ribosomal RNA". It matches the Rfam family "Bacterial small subunit ribosomal RNA", at positions 524 to 776 of the family's 1533-position model. The record is from RNAcentral.